UCGAGAAUUUUUCACAAUGGGCGAAAGCCUGAUGGAGCGACGCCGCGUGGGGGAUGAAUGGCUUCGGCCCGUAAACCCCUGUCAUUUGCGAACAAACCUUAUCUGUGAACAACGGAUAAGCUGAUUGUAGCGGAAGAGGAAGGGACGGCUAACUCUGUGCCAGCAGCCGCGGUAAUACAGAGGUCCCAAGCGUUGUUCGGAUUCACUGGGCGUAAAGGGUGCGUAGGUGGUGAGGUAAGUUUGAGGUGAAAGCUCCGGGCCUAACCCGGAAAUUGCCUUGAAUACUAUCUCGCUAGAGGAUCGGAGGGGAGACUGGAAUUCUCGGUGUAGCAGUGAAAUGCGUAGAUAUCGAGAGGAACACCAGUGGCGAAGGCGAGUCUCUGGACGAUACCUGACACUGAGGCACGAAAGCCAGGGGAGCAAACGGG
RNAcentral lists this ribosomal RNA (428 nucleotides) under uncultured bacterium. RNAcentral's name for it is "bacterial SSU rRNA". It matches the Rfam family "Bacterial small subunit ribosomal RNA", at positions 355 to 776 of the family's 1533-position model. The record is from RNAcentral.